RNAcentral lists this ribosomal RNA (2902 nucleotides) under Acinetobacter baumannii OIFC137. RNAcentral describes it as "bacterial LSU rRNA". It matches the Rfam family "Bacterial large subunit ribosomal RNA". Lineage: Bacteria; Pseudomonadati; Pseudomonadota; Gammaproteobacteria; Moraxellales; Moraxellaceae. The record is from RNAcentral.
AGUCAAGUAAUUAAGUGCAUGUGGUGGAUGCCUUGGCAGUCAGAGGCGAUGAAAGACGUGAUAGCCUGCGAAAAGCUCCGGGGAGGCGGCAAAUAUCCUUAGAUCCGGAGAUGUCUGAAUGGGGGAACCCACCUACUUUAAGGUAGGUAUUGCAACAUGAAUACAUAGUGUUGCAAGGCGAACGAGGGGAAGUGAAACAUCUCAGUACCCUUAGGAAAAGAAAUCAAUUGAGAUUCCCUCAGUAGCGGCGAGCGAACGGGGAUCAGCCCAUUAAGUUAUGUGUGUUUUAGUGGAACGCUCUGGGAAGUGCGAACGUAGAGGGUGAUAUUCCCGUACACGAAAGGGCACACAUAAUGAUGACGAGUAGGGCGAGGCACGUGAAACCUUGUCUGAAUAUGGGGGGACCAUCCUCCAAGGCUAAAUACUCCUGACUGACCGAUAGUGAACCAGUACCGUGAGGGAAAGGCGAAAAGAACCCCUGUGAGGGGAGUGAAAUAGAUCCUGAAACCGCAUGCAUACAAGCAGUGGGAGCACCUUCGUGGUGUGACUGCGUACCUUUUGUAUAAUGGGUCAGCGACUUAUAUUCAGUAGCGAGGUUAACCGUAUAGGGGAGCCGUAGAGAAAUCGAGUCUUAAUAGGGCGUUUAGUUGCUGGGUAUAGACCCGAAACCAGGCGAUCUAUCCAUGAGCAGGUUGAAGGUUGGGUAACACUAACUGGAGGACCGAACCCACUGUCGUUGAAAAGCCAGGGGAUGACUUGUGGAUAGGGGUGAAAGGCUAAUCAAGCCUGGUGAUAGCUGGUUCUCCCCGAAAGCUAUUUAGGUAGCGCCUCGGACGAAUACCAUAGGGGGUAGAGCACUGUUUCGGCUAGGGGGUCAUCCCGACUUACCAAACCGAUGCAAACUCCGAAUACCUAUGAGUACUAUCCGGGAGACAGACUGCGGGUGCUAACGUCCGUAGUCAAGAGGAAAACAAUCCAGACCGCCAGCUAAGGCCCCAAAAUCAUAGUUAAGUGGGAAACGAUGUGGGAAGGCAUAGACAGCUAGGAGGUUGGCUUAGAAGCAGCCACCCUUUAAAGAAAGCGUAAUAGCUCACUAGUCGAGUCGGCCUGCGCGGAAGAUGUAACGGGGCUAAAACUAUGUGCCGAAGCUGCGGAUGUAUACUUUGUAUACGUGGUAGGGGAGCGUUCUGUAAGCCGAUGAAGGUGUGUUGAGAAGCAUGCUGGAGGUAUCAGAAGUGCGAAUGCUGACGUGAGUAACGACAAAACGGGUGAAAAACCCGUUCGCCGAAAGACCAAGGGUUCCAGUCCAACGUUAAUCGGGGCUGGGUGAGUCGACCCCUAAGGCGAGGCCGAAAGGCGUAGUCGAUGGGAAAAUGGUUAAUAUUCCAUUACUUCUGUGUAAUGCGAUGAGAGGACGGAGAAGGCUAAAUCAGCCUGGCGUUGGUUGUCCAGGUGAAAGGAUGUAGGCAUGUAUCUUAGGCAAAUCCGGGGUACUCUAUGCUGAGAUCUGAUAGCAAGCUGUACUUGUACAGCGAAGUGGUUGAUGCCAUGCUUCCAGGAAAAGUCUCUAAGCUUCAGUUACACAGGAAUCGUACCCGAAACCGACACAGGUGGUCAGGUCGAGUAGACCAAGGCGCUUGAGAGAACUCUGCUGAAGGAACUAGGCAAAAUGGUACCGUAACUUCGGGAGAAGGUACGCUGUUGUUGGUGAUGGAACUCGCUUCCUGAGCUGACGACAGCCGCAGAAACCAGGCCGCUGCAACUGUUUAUUAAAAACAUAGCACUCUGCAAACACGAAAGUGGACGUAUAGGGUGUGAUGCCUGCCCGGUGCUGGAAGGUUAAUUGAUGGGGUUAGCGUAAGCGAAGCUCUUGAUCGAAGCCCCAGUAAACGGCGGCCGUAACUAUAACGGUCCUAAGGUAGCGAAAUUCCUUGUCGGGUAAGUUCCGACCUGCACGAAUGGCAUAAUGAUGGCGGCGCUGUCUCCAGCAGAGGCUCAGUGAAAUCGAAAUCGCUGUGAAGAUGCAGUGUACCCGCGGCUAGACGGAAAGACCCCGUGAACCUUUACUGCAGCUUGACACUGAACUUUGACCUUACUUGUGUAGGAUAGGUGGGAGGCUUUGAAGCUGGAACGCUAGUUCCAGUGGAGCCGUCCUUGAAAUACCACCCUGGUAAUGUUGAGGUUCUAACUCUGUCCCGUGAUCCGGGACGAGGACCGUGUCUGGUGGGUAGUUUGACUGGGGCGGUCUCCUCCUAAAGAGUAACGGAGGAGUACGAAGGUGCGCUCAGCGUGGUCGGAAAUCACGCGUAGAGUAUAAAGGCAAAAGCGCGCUUAACUGCGAGACCCACAAGUCGAGCAGGUACGAAAGUAGGUCUUAGUGAUCCGGUGGUUCUGUAUGGAAGGGCCAUCGCUCAACGGAUAAAAGGUACUCUGGGGAUAACAGGCUGAUACCGCCCAAGAGUUCAUAUCGACGGCGGUGUUUGGCACCUCGAUGUCGGCUCAUCUCAUCCUGGGGCUGAAGCAGGUCCCAAGGGUAUGGCUGUUCGCCAUUUAAAGAGGUACGCGAGCUGGGUUUAGAACGUCGUGAGACAGUUCGGUCCCUAUCUACCGUGGGCGCUGGAAAUUUGAGAGGAUCUGCUCCUAGUACGAGAGGACCAGAGUGGACGAACCUCUGGUGUACCGGUUGUGACGCCAGUCGCAUCGCCGGGUAGCUAUGUUCGGAAGGGAUAACCGCUGAAAGCAUCUAAGCGGGAAGCCUACCUCAAGAUAAGAUUUCCCUAGGACUUUAUGUCCUCUAAAGAGCCGUUCGAGACUAGGACGUUGAUAGGUUGGAUGUGGAAGCAUAGUGAUAUGUGAAGCUGACCAAUACUAAUUGCUCGUGAGGCUUGACUAUACAACACCC